GAAGUAAAUAAGAAUGAACUUCUAAUUCAUUAACUAUAAUUUUUAUUAUAUUACUUCU
This 58-nucleotide transfer RNA is filed under the name Leptothorax acervorum. RNAcentral's name for it is "tRNA-Ser". Lineage: Eukaryota; Metazoa; Arthropoda; Insecta; Hymenoptera; Formicidae. RNAcentral also lists the same sequence under 2 other names. The record is from RNAcentral.